CGAUAAGCUUCGGGUAGUUGGAAAGAAACUAUGAUCCGGAGAUUUCCGAAUGGGGCAACCCAAUAAAUUAAUUAUUUAUUAUCUUUAACUGAAUAAAUAGGUUAAAGAGGCAAGACCUGCUGAACUGAGACAUCUAAGUAAGCAGAGGAAAAGAAAUCAUAUCGAGAUUCCCUAAGUAGCGGCGAGCGAAACGGGAAUAGCCCAAACCGAAAAUUUAUUUUCGGGGUUGUAGGGCCAGUGAAUACGCAAAAUGAAUUCUAGCAGAACUACAUGGGAAGGUAGACAAUAUAGAGUGAGAGUCUCGUAUGCGAAAGAAUGAAUUUUGUUACACAGGUACCUGAGUAGGAUCGGACACGUGAAACCCGGUCUGAAGCUAGGGAGACCACUCUCUAAGGCUAAAUACUAGUCAAUGACCGAUAGUGAACCAGUACAGUGAUGGAAAGGUGAAAAGAACCCCUGUUAGGGGAGUGAAAUAGAACCUGAAACCAAUAGCUUACAAGCGGUCAGAGGCCUAUAUCCCAUUU
RNAcentral lists this ribosomal RNA (524 nucleotides) under uncultured Chlamydiales bacterium. RNAcentral's name for it is "bacterial LSU rRNA". It matches the Rfam family "Bacterial large subunit ribosomal RNA", at positions 69 to 586 of the family's 2925-position model. The record is from RNAcentral. Lineage: Bacteria; Pseudomonadati; Chlamydiota; Chlamydiia; Chlamydiales.